GUUUUUCAAAGGUAAAGAGGAUUUCAUUAUACAAUAGGUCAUACAAUUUUAGGGCUCAAAGCCCAAAAACAUGAAAUACUUAACCUAGCCCUAGUUCGCCUAACAAGGUUCAAUUUAAUUUUACAGAGAUUUUUAAAAAAACCCAACAACUCUUAACCUUAGCCAGCCUAAAACAGGCACAAUGGACCCAAUCCAGGAAAACCUUGUACUAUUUUGAUUAUCCACCCGACAAUCACAAACAAUAUCGCCGUAGCCUUCCGAGCUUCUGGGGGCUCUCCAACAACGGUUCAGCGGAAUGAAGAACGCUAAUCACAAGCUACCAACGCCAUUACAGAUCAACCCAGCUAAGAACCGUUUAAUCCUCCAAGUAACAUUUUGCUCUUGAUUAUUGCUGCUGCUGCUGGUGCUUGCACUGCCAUCGUGACUCAGUUGUGUCAUUAACCAUCAUUUUUCAAGUCAAGCUGUCAUUUCCUGAUCAGGAGCUCGUUCGAAUGUUGGAAUUAGCUCAUCAGCAAGUUUGAUAUCGUUGUUAUAUCCGAAUUUUCUGAGGACAGUCCAAGUUGUCUCAGGACGUCCUUUUUCUAUCAACAGUGCAUGGAGAAACAAGAAUCCUGUG
This 616-nucleotide unclassified non-coding RNA is filed under the name Hevea brasiliensis (rubber tree). The record is from RNAcentral. Lineage: Eukaryota; Viridiplantae; Streptophyta; Magnoliopsida; Malpighiales; Euphorbiaceae.